This 997-nucleotide ribosomal RNA is filed under the name uncultured bacterium. RNAcentral describes it as "bacterial SSU rRNA". It matches the Rfam family "Bacterial small subunit ribosomal RNA", at positions 355 to 1375 of the family's 1533-position model. The record is from RNAcentral.
UGGGGAAUAUUGCACAAUGGGGGAAACCCUGAUGCAGCGACGCCGCGUGGAGGAAGAAGGUCUUCGGAUUGUAAACUCCUGUUGUUGAGGAAGAUAAUGACGGUACUCAACAAGGAAGUGACGGCUAACUACGUGCCAGCAGCCGCGGUAAAACGUAGGGUGCAAGCGUUGUCCGGAAUUACUGGGUGUAAAGGGAGCGCAGGCGGGAAGACAAGUUGGAAGUGAAAACCAUGGGCUCAACCCAUGAAUUGCUUUCAAAACUGUUUUUCUUGAGUAGUGCAGAGGUAGAUGGAAUUCCCGGUGUAGCGGUGGAAUGCGUAGAUAUCGGGAGGAACACCAGUGGCGAAGGCGGUCUACUGGGCACCAACUGACGCUGAGGCUCGAAAGCAUGGGUAGCAAACAGGAUUAGAUACCCUGGUAGUCCAUGCCGUAAACGAUGAUUACUAGGUGUUGGGGGAUUGACCCCCUCAGUGCCGCAGUUAACACAAUAAGUAAUCCACCUGGGGAGUACGACCGCAAGGUUGAAACUCAAAGGAAUUGACGGGGGCCCGCACAAGCAGUGGAGUAUGUGGUUUAAUUCGAAGCAACGCGAAGAACCUUACCAGGUCUUGACAUCCGAUGCAUAACACAGAGAUGUGUGAAAUCCUUCGGGACAUCGAGACAGGUGGUGCAUGGUUGUCGUCAGCUCGUGUCGUGAGAUGUUGGGUUAAGUCCCGCAACGAGCGCAACCCUUAUUGCCAGUUACUACGUUAAGAGGACUCUGGCGAGACUGCCGUUGACAAAACGGAGGAAGGUGGGGAUGACGUCAAAUCAUCAUGCCCUUUAUGACCUGGGCUACACACGUACUACAAUGGCGUUAAACAAAGAGAAGCAAGACCGCGAGGUGGAGCAAAACUCAAAAACAACGUCUCAGUUCAGAUUGCAGGCUGCAACUCGCCUGCAUGAAGUCGGAAUUGCUAGUAAUCGCGGAUCAGCAUGCCGCGGUGAAUACGUUCCC